UGGGGAAUAUUGGACAAUGGGCGCAAGCCUGAUCCAGCCAUGCCGCGUGUGUGAAGAAGGCCUUUUGGUUGUAAAGCACUUUAAGCGAGGAGGAGGCUACUUGGAUUAAUACUCUAGGAUAGUGGACGUUACUCGCAGAAUAAGCACCGGCUAACUCUGUG
This 161-nucleotide ribosomal RNA is filed under the name uncultured bacterium. RNAcentral describes it as "partial 16S ribosomal RNA". It matches the Rfam family "Bacterial small subunit ribosomal RNA", at positions 355 to 507 of the family's 1533-position model. The record is from RNAcentral.